This 253-nucleotide ribosomal RNA is filed under the name uncultured bacterium. RNAcentral's name for it is "partial 16S ribosomal RNA". It matches the Rfam family "Bacterial small subunit ribosomal RNA", at positions 524 to 776 of the family's 1533-position model. The record is from RNAcentral.
GACGAACCGUCCAAACGUUAUUCGGAAUUACUGGGCUUAAAGGGUGCGUAGGCGGCGCGGAAAGUUGGGUGUGAAAUCCCUCGGCUCAACCGAGGAACUGUGCUCAAUACUACCGUGCUCGAGGGAGAUAGAGGUGAGCGGAACUUAGGGUGGAGCGGUGAAAUGCGUUGAUAUCCUAAGGAACACCGGUGGCGAAAGCGGCUCACUGGAUCUCUUCUGACGCUGAGGCACGAAAGCUAGGGUAGCGAACGGG